Molecule: ribosomal RNA, 468 nt
Filed under: uncultured bacterium
Lineage: Bacteria
Description: partial 16S ribosomal RNA
Rfam family: Bacterial small subunit ribosomal RNA
Source: RNAcentral
GACGAACGCUGGCGGCGUGCUUAACACAUGCAAGUCGAACGGAAAGGCCCUGCUUUUGUGGGGUGCUCGAGUGGCGAACGGGUGAGUAACACGUGAGUAACCUGCCCUUGACUUUGGGAUAACUUCAUGAAACUGGGGCUAAUACCGGAUAGGAGCUCCUGCUGCAUGGUGGGGGUUGGAAAGUUUCGGCGGUUGGUGAGGGACUCGCGGCUUAUCAGCUUGUUGGUGGGGUAGUGGCUUACCACGGCUAUGACGCGUAGCCGGGCUGAGAGGGUGACCGGCGCCGUUGGACUGGGAAGGAGGCCCGGCCCAGUACGGGAGGGGGCGGUGGGGGAGGUUGUACUAGGGACUGGGGCCAAAUCCAACACAGCAAUGCGGCGUAAGAGGGGAAGGGGGUUGGGAUCCAAAUUCGCCUGUCACGAAGCGAGAAUGACAGUAACGGGUAAAGAAGCGCCGGCUAACUCCGUG